AAUAGAUACCCCGGGUAGUCCACGCCGUAAACGAUGAGUGCUAAGUGUUAGAGGGUUUCCGCCCUUUAGUGCUGCAGCUAACGCAUUAAGCACUCCGCCUGGGGGAGUACGGUCGCAAGACUGAAACUCAAAGGAAUUGACGGGGGGCCCGCACAAGCGGUGGAGCAUGUGGUUUAAUUCGAAGCAACGCGAAGAACCUUACCAGGUCUUGACAUCCUCUGACAACUCUAGAGAUAGAGCGUUCCCCUUCGGGGGACAGAGUGACAGGUGGUGCAUGGUUGUCGUCAGCUCGUGUCGUGAGAUGUUGGGUUAAGUCCCGCAACGAGCGCAACCCUUGAUCUUAGUUGCCAGCAUUUAGUUGGGCACUCUAAGGUGACUGCCGGUGACAAACCGGAGGAAGGUGGGGAUGACGUCAAAUCAUCAUGCCCCUUAUGACCUGGGCUACACACGUGCUACAAUGGAUGGUACAAAGGGCUGCAAGACCGCGAGGUCAAGCCAAUCCCAUAAAACCAUUCUCAGUUCGGAUUGUAGG
This 532-nucleotide ribosomal RNA is filed under the name uncultured bacterium. RNAcentral's name for it is "bacterial SSU rRNA". It matches the Rfam family "Bacterial small subunit ribosomal RNA", at positions 777 to 1304 of the family's 1533-position model. The record is from RNAcentral.